AAACAAUAUGUACAGACCACCAAAUGAAUAAUAAGAAUGCCCUACUAUGCCCUAUCCCCACUAAACAUCAUUGUAUGGUCCCCAAAGAAAAAAAUAAAAAGGGAGCAGAGGAAGGUAAAGACUCUUUGUGGUAUACUAGGAACUCGGGUCCUUGUCGGUAGAUGGUCGUACUUCUCAAUAGGAGUGUCAUCAGAUUAGGCUCUUCUAAGUUGGUUUGCUACAAAGGAAAUUCAUCUUGGUUUGCACUUUCAAGCAUUGUUGGAUUCCUUUAGAGUUUUAUUUUUUUGUGCUUUUUUAGUUGUAGUUUGUGCCUUAUACUUAUCUAGAGUGGUGACCUUCUUAUCAUAUCGUAGCAAAUUUAUCCUUGGAGACAUACCUAUGAAAAAAGGAAAAUAUCAAAAUAAAAGCAAGAGAAAAAGAAUAAAACAUGUUUUCUGAUUUUCAUAUAUUAAGAAAGAAAAUAAAGCAAAAGAAAAAUGAAGGUGGAUGAAAGGUAACUUCAUCAUAGGAUUUUUUCAUCACAACACUCAACUAUUUGGACUCUACGUUGUCACACAUAUCAACAUUCUAGCUCAUAAAACAUCAAUAACCCCCCAUGGAAACAAGAAUGACCUAAUAUGCUUAAGAAUGGCGUCACCCAAUCUAUUAUAAGUCAAGGCAAGUAUUCAUGUCUCCCAAAUUACUUAGACUUCACCGCUGGGUUCUAUGUUUAGUAAAGUGACUAAAAAAAACUAUGGAUGCCAAAUUUCUCCACAAACUAUCCACAAAAUCUCACCUAAAUUAAAUUCAAAAGAAAAAACAUCAUGUUAUAUAAAGCACCAUUUCUACUUUUAACAGAAUUCAAAGUUCAUACCUUUAACUUGAUUAAAGAGAGGAGAAAAAUGAAAUAAAUAUUUAAUUCAAGUAUCUAGGGCUUUAAUUCUUAUUAUAAAAAUUUAAAAUUUUACUUAUCAAGAAGGAGAAAGUUUUUAGAUGUCAAAAUGUGACAAACGAUCCAAAACCAGUGCAUUAGGUGAGUAGUAUGCACCUGGAUUGCUCAAGCAGGUCUAGCAUAGGUCAAAACAGAACCAACCACUAUUUUUUUGGAUUACCUUCACUUUAGUUGCACUUUUCCUGUGCCUGUACUACUCAAGCAUGUCUAGGACAGGUCUAAGAAAUGUUGUUGCUACCAUCUGGGUGUCAUAUGCUCUUGGUCUAUGCUUGGACUACUCAAGCAUGUCUAGUGCAUGUCCAAGAAGUGAUACUUCCUUCAAAAUCAUUCUAGCUGUGCAUGGUCUAUGCCUAGACUGCUCAACCGUAGCCUAUGUAGGUCCAGACUAAGGAUAUCCCAUUUGUAAGAAAUAUUGGCCCGAGUCACAGUUUUAGGCCCCCAAACCUUCCUUCAUAUAUCCUGACUUAUGAUAUCACCUGCAAACACAAAAAAUAAGUUAAAAUUUAGACUAAAAACAUUAGAAGAAAACAAUAAAAAACCUUAGGUUGCAUCCCAAGAUACCCCUUAUUUAUGUCUUGGCAUAACAUCAACUGGUCAUCAUUUUACAUCCUUGAAUCGAGGCCACUCAACCAUAGUCACUCUGAAUCCACCCACGUGGUAAUGCCUCAAUCCUUCUCCAUUCACCAAAAAACUUCUUCUUUUUAUGGUCUUUUGAUUGAAUUUUCAUUUGAAUAGACAUUAUAGACCAUAAAUGGGCCUGACCACUUAGUUUUAGGAUUUCCUACGAAAUGUUUCAACCUAUUGUUCAAGAGGAGAACAUAUUCACACUGUAAAAUUUUUUGUUCAAUGUCUUAAUGUCAUGCCACCUCUUCUUUUUAGAUUUACUUAGGGAACAACCCCUUUUAAGUUCGCUAUGGGCCGCCCAAUAACAUGAAUGAACUUUUCCACUAUGGAUUUUGAGGCUUUCAUUUUCCAAGGUGAUAGAUCAUCCACAACAACGGUUGGCAAAGUGUUGUCCUUACAAGGGUUUCUAUUGUAAUAUCCAAGACUCAUUGUCAAAAUAAUCACCUCGUCCUUUUUUUAAAUCACCUCACUCUAUAAAUUUUAUAAUAUACCCACCAAGGAGUCAUCCAUAAGGUUUGAAUUUAAGGUGUUAGUCACCUCAUCAUCAACUAUAUCAAUCAGAGAAAAAACUUGCAAAUCCUUAGGUUGUUUCAUAAACUUACACACAUUGAAAGAGACCUCUUAAUUAUUUAAUCAAAACUUUCUGUCACCACAUUCAACAUUAACUAUGGCUCUUGUGAUAGCCAAUAAUAUCCUACCAAUAAUGAUAGGGACUUGUUGAUCCAUCUCCCAAUCAAGAAUAACAAUGUUGGACAAAAAUACGAACCAGUCCACUAUUAUAAGAAUAUCACAUAGAACUCCCACGAGCUUCUUGAUAGAAUAGUCGGUCAUUAAAAGCCUCAUUGUGGUUAGUGUAGGGAAACCUAAACCUAACAUUUGAAACAUGAAAAAUGUCAUAAAAUUAAUGCUUUUCCUAAGAUCACACAAUGCUUUUUCAAACUUGUGCACCCCAAUAGUGCAAGGAAUAGUGAAUGCACGCGGGUCUUCCUUCUUCACCAUCAUUUAUGCUAGACAUUAUAUCACUAAAAUUAUGAGUUACCUCUAUAAUUUCAACAUUCAUGACUCAUUUCUUUGUUAUCAAGUUAUUCAUGAAUUUAGCAUAUUCGAACAUCUCUUGUAAAGCUUCUAAUAAUGGAAUAUUCACUAAUA
This 2704-nucleotide long non-coding RNA is filed under the name Capsicum annuum. RNAcentral's name for it is "long non-coding RNA (CANN_LNC006938)". Lineage: Eukaryota; Viridiplantae; Streptophyta; Magnoliopsida; Solanales; Solanaceae. The record is from RNAcentral.